UUCGGUUGGGAGAGUAAAGUGGCGCACGGGUGAGUAACGCGUGGGUAAUCUGCCCCUAAAUCUGGGAUAACUUCGCGAAAGUGUUGCUAAUACCGGAUAUCGUCCCCCAGGCUGUGGCCUUUGGGAUGAAAGGUGACCUCUUCAUGAAAGUUGCCGUUUAGGGAGGAGCUCGCGUACCAUUAGCUUGUUGGUGGGGUAAUGGCCUACCAAGGCGACGAUGGUUAGCUGGUCUGAGAGGAUGAUCAGCCACACUGGAACUGAAACACGGUCCAGACUCCUACGGGAGGCAGCAGUGAGGAAUUUUGCGCAAUGGGGGAAACCCUGACGCAGCAACGCCGCGUGAGUGAUGAAGACCUUCGGGUCGUAAAGCUCUGUCAAGUGGGAAAAAAUACUUACGGUCAAUAGCCGUAAGGACUGAUGGUACCACUGGAGGAAGCACCGGCUAACUCCGUGCCAGCAGCCGCGGUAAUACGGAGGGUGCAAGCGUUGUUCGGAAUUACUGGGCGUAAAGAGCGUGUAGGCGGUUUGGCAAGUCAGAUGUGAAAGCCCUGGGCUCAACCCAGGAAGUGCAUUUGAAACUGCCUGACUAGAGUAUGGGAGAGGAGAUUGGAAUUCCCAGUGUAGAGGUGAAAUUCGUAGAUAUUGGGAGGAACACCGGUGGCGAAGGCGAUUCUCUGGACCGAUACUGACGCUGAGACGCGAAAGCGUGGGGAGCAAACAGGAUUAGAUACCCUGGUAGUCCACGCUGUAAACGAUGAGAACUAGGUGUAGCGGGUAUUGACCCCUGCUGUGCCGCAGCUAACGCAUUAAGUUCUCCGCCUGGGGAGUACGGCCGCAAGG
Molecule: ribosomal RNA, 840 nt
Filed under: uncultured bacterium
Lineage: Bacteria
Description: bacterial SSU rRNA
Rfam family: Bacterial small subunit ribosomal RNA
Source: RNAcentral